This 2396-nucleotide long non-coding RNA is filed under the name Capsicum annuum. RNAcentral's name for it is "long non-coding RNA (CANN_LNC018398)". The record is from RNAcentral. Lineage: Eukaryota; Viridiplantae; Streptophyta; Magnoliopsida; Solanales; Solanaceae.
CAACAUGAUAAACCUCUCAAACAAAUGACCAAAACCACUGCAAUGGUAACAGCAUCACGCGACCCGACCCGACCAACUAUAAAGAUACCCGAAACCAACCCAUUCGUGGUCUUUCUUAUGCGUCCCACGCAAACUCAUUCGUGAAAGCCUAGAGGAUUUCGAAAAUUGGUGAGUUGGCUCCUCCAACAUUUCAAUUCCACAAAUUUUAGGAUAAGUGUAAGAUUCAGGUACAUAUUUGGGCGUUUGUUAUUGGUUGGGAAAGAGAUUCAUUUUUCCCAAUGGUAAUUGGUCCACCUAUUUGGAAUCAUCUGGUAGAGAUUCCUAAAUUAGUACGUUUGUUGAUGAAUUCUUAAAGGAGGGAGGAUUUUAGAAUUUCAAAUUAUAGGGAUCCUAUGGUUCCCCCCAUUUCCUUCUUCCAUAUAAGGGGGGCUUUUUUUUUUUUUAGAUGGGGGAUUGGGAAAUUUGGAGGGUUCUAGAAUUAGGGUUCAAAAAUUAGGUCCAAAAAAUUUUUGGAGUUCGGAUAUUGUUCUAAGAGAUUUUGGGGCUCAAAAUUUCUAGGGUUUGGAAAUUUGAAAGGUGAGGAACUUUGGAUCCAAAAGGAAAAAGAGAGAAGAACCCUUGAGCACAAAUCAGUCUCUGUUAGUAAAGAAUUCCCUUUUUUUCUAGUGAGUUCGUCAGCUAAUCAAAGCUCCGAGUUGACUACGACACAUCUCCGGUGGUGGUGAAAUCCGACGCCAGCUCGUAGCCCAUUUUACUGCUCUCUAAAAGGUAAUAUCAUACACCAUUUUAAUCUUUCGAUUGCUUCUUCUUCAUCUCAACAUUCUGUAGUAGAAAGCUAUUAUUCUAAUGAUCCUGCGCUGGGUGUUCGCUGUAGAUUGUUGAUUAAUUUUCGAUUGAAUGCUCUUAUUUUGUGUGUUGCUUAAGUUUUGUAUGGUUGAUCCCGUUAAAGUUUCGUGCUUUAACAGUUUUUGGGUUGAUAGCAUCUUGUUAGGUCUGGCUUUUAUGUUAAAGUUUUGUGCCUUGGAUCUUGUUUCCAGUAAUCGGUAUCCUGUUGAGGUUGGUUUCGUCGUUUAAAGUUCCAUGCUUUGAUCCUGUUUUGGGAUGUCUGAAUUUUGUUAAGACUGAUUCCAUAGUAAUUUUUUGUGUUUUGGUUUGGUCUAAUAAGUUUCAGGUUGUUGGAAUCUUGUUUACCUGAUUUUUAUGGUUAAAGUUUCACAUUGCGAUUUUGUUCAAUACGUUUUGAGCUGCUGAAUUUCGUUUACCUGUUAACCCUGCUCCCUUUGUGGAAUUGCAAAGUUUGAAUCUUUGUUUCCUUUUGGAGUUUGUUUUAAGUUGGUAUUUCGUUUGUUUGAUCCCCGAAAAAAUGUGAUGGCUUUAUUGUAAAAUAGAAUGGAUAGGGUCUCUUUGAUGUCAAAAAUCAUUAUGUCAAGUUUCAUUGAAAAGGUUAUGAUCUUUUGUUUGUUUGAAAAGCUCUUAUGUCAAGUUUCAUUAAUUCUUGCUUAAGUUGUUGAUUUUAUGUUAGUGUUUGCUAUCCAAGUUGGUAUAUUUAGGUAAAGUAUGUCAAUAAUUCGUGUCCUUUUAAAGGAAUGGUACAGUGAAGAGCUCUGUUUUAUUUCCCCUGAAAAGAAUGGUUCCUUUCUUACUCAAUGUCAUGAAUGGGUCGUUUUUGAAGUUUAUUUUAACCCCCCAACUCUAGUGUACGUCUCAUUGAUGGCUUGUUCUUGCUUACGAGAAUCCUUAGAAAUUUAGUCUUAAGCUCUUUUUUUUAGUUUAUAUGUGUGUCCAUGUACCAGUGAUAGCCGUAAUUGCGUGACUUUUUCUUGACUUUUUUCUAUAUCUUGACGUACUGUUUGCUAUGUCAUUUCAAAUUACAAUAUUCUUUUUGUGUAUUGAUUUUGUUACGUCACUUAUAUAUAUGGCGUUCUGUACUUUGGAUAUGCAUAUUAAUCUCUCUUAUUUUUGUUUCUUGCAUGUGAAUCGCUUGAGUCCUACAUGGAGUCUUUCCCUCUUGCAUAUUCAUCGCGGGCCAAUGAGGCCCAUCUUAUUGAGUCAGCCUCAACUAAAAGUCAGUCGCAUGGCACACGGAUACAAGGACCAAAGGAAGAGUGAAAUGGGUUGAAAUUCCAUAUUUGAAGCGACAAAGGGACUAAAAGUCUCCCUUUUGUUCAUUCGUUCAUAUUAUUUACUUGUCGUCUUUAUCUAUUUUAUUUAUUUAUUUAUUGCAUUAUUCAUUCAUUUCAGCCUCGAAGCCAAAGUUACAUUUAAUAUAGGUGGAGUAAGACUGGAGCCAAAGGCUCGUAAAAUAGUUUAGGACAGGUGAAAUGGGUCGGAAGCCCAACUAGACUAGGGCAGGUCUCGUUGAUUUGGCCCAAUGGCCUAAAUCCUUUACUUUCUCC